Molecule: ribosomal RNA, 432 nt
Filed under: Triticum aestivum (bread wheat)
Lineage: Eukaryota; Viridiplantae; Streptophyta; Magnoliopsida; Poales; Poaceae
Description: partial small subunit ribosomal RNA
Source: RNAcentral
AUGGCCCCCAACAGAGCUCCGGGACCAAACAAUAUUCUUGUGGAGUUUUAUCAAGCCUGUUGGGAUAUAGUGAAAGGGGAUAUUAUGUCUCUUUUUAAGCAUUUUCAUGAUGGGACGCUGGAUGUACAACGUCUCAAUUAUGGGGUGAUCACUCUUCUACCUAAGGUUUCUGGGGCUGAUAAAAUUCAACAGUUUAGACCUAUAUGCCUCCUUAGAUGCCCAUAUAAACUUAUCACCAAAGCCAUGGAUCGUAGGGUUGAGAAACAUGCUGACAAACUAAUCAGCCCCACCCAGAAUGCUUUUGUGAAGGGUAGGAAUAUCAUGGAUGGGGUUCUGUCUCUUCAUGAAAUCCUUAACUACACCCAUGUUAAAAAAAGGGUGGGCAUUGUGUUGAAGCUCGACUUUGAAAAAGCCUAUGACAAAGUCAAUUGA